RNAcentral lists this ribosomal RNA (441 nucleotides) under uncultured bacterium. Its description in RNAcentral is "partial 16S ribosomal RNA". It matches the Rfam family "Bacterial small subunit ribosomal RNA", at positions 338 to 795 of the family's 1533-position model. The record is from RNAcentral.
CCUACGGGAGGCAGCAGUGGGGAAUAUUGCACAAUGGGGGAAACCCUGAUGCAGCAACGCCGCGUGAGUGAAGAAGUAUUUCGGUAUGUAAAGCUCUAUCAGUAGGGAAGAAGAAAGACGGUACCUGACUAAGAAGCCCCGGCUAACUACGUGCCAGCAGCCGCGGUAAUACGUAGGGGGCAAGCGUUAUCCGGAUGUACUGGGUGUAACGGGAGCGUAGGCGGCUGUGCAAGUCUGAAGUGAAAGCCCGGGGCUUAACCGCGGAACUGCUUUGGAAACUGUAUAGCUUGAGUACUGGAGAGGCAGGCGGAAUGCCUGGUGUAGCGGUGAAAUGCGUAGAUAUUAGGAGGAACACCAGUGGCGAAGGCGGCCUGCUGGACAGAAACUGACGUUGAGGCUCGAAAGCGUGGGGAGCGAACAGGAUUAGAUACCCUUGUAGUC